GAAGGAGAGAGUGGUGAUGAAACUCUUGGAGCUUGGUUUGGGUGAUAGUACAUGAAGAUAGGUAGAUGGGUUGUCUUGCCAAUUUAUUUUAAGGGCUUUCAUUAUCGAGAUGUAUUAGUGGGCAAGACAAGGACUAAAUCGGUUGAGGCUGAAUUAGAUGAGAGUGAUAGAGCUUUAUUUAUUUUUAUUGUAAAGUUGUAAGAUUUUGGAUAUAUUUUUAUAAGAGAAGUUUAUUUUAAACCC
This is a long non-coding RNA of Prunus dulcis (almond), 243 nucleotides long. RefSeq lists it as uncharacterized. The transcript is spliced from 2 exons. The record is from RefSeq and is a predicted model, not a curated record. NCBI's taxonomy places the organism in Eukaryota, Viridiplantae, Streptophyta, Magnoliopsida, Rosales, Rosaceae.